This 1234-nucleotide non-coding RNA is filed under the name Pan troglodytes (chimpanzee). The record is from RNAcentral. Lineage: Eukaryota; Metazoa; Chordata; Mammalia; Primates; Hominidae.
CCGGGGAGCAGGCGCUCCAGCAGCCUGCAGAGGACCACCCCAUCCUUCAGCGACGCCUGCAGAAAGCCCUCCGGGUCCGAGAUGGUUUUUUUGGGCGACUCCAGCACCCCCAGAGUGAUGAGCCACGUAACGGUGGCGGGGACAGGCUGAAAACGAGACGUUUGUUUCCCUUUGCUACCUUGCAAGCCGGUCAUGACGGAACACAAAUGAUGGUUCCAUCUGAAGCCAUAUGGGUCUGAAUCGGGAGGAACCGACUCUCCGGAGCGCGGCGCCGACCUCACCGGCAGGGCAGGGGCCUGCGUGAUUCUGCUCUAGACGGACGGUGACGCUUCAGACCCUGCCGGGGGAAGGUCAAGGAAACGGCGUGGCCUGAAGUGGGGCUGUGCAGAGGGCCGGGCCGGGCCGGGCGCCGGGCUGCGUCUCGGGGACGCCGAAGAUCUGGGCUGUGAAAGCAGCAGGCCGAACCUGGAGAGCCCAGACGGCAAGUGUCGCGUCAUGCGCGAGCUUCCUCGAACAACUGAUGACACGCACACAUUGACAUGCGAGGAAGAAAUGGAGCCUCUUCUUAAAAGGACACGGGUCUCCACUCACUCCAUCCACUGUCCCUGGGCACUCCCCCAGUUUGCUCGCUGUGACCCGCGGGCAGUUUAACAAGCAAAGCACUUAGUCUAUGCCAGGCACAUACAUUAAUCCGUUCAAUGACAAAGGCUAGAAAGCAUAUAAAGCUUCCAAAAAUAAUCAGAGGCUUAAGUCGUCUCCCCCUGCCUUCUGCCGGUGGAUUUCUCUUGCAAUCACUAAUUGCUUUUAUUUCUAGCCUUGAGUUAAGUGGUUAAAAUUUUCUUUGCAAAUACAAAAAAUAUUCAAAUGGCAGUAUGAAUUCUGGAUUACGAGGACAAUGUGCUCAGUGAUAACAGCGACUGGUUAGGGACCGUCAAAAAGUGUUGUCUACUGCCUCGCCUCCCAUCAUGGUCCCCUUUUACUGAUCAGAUGCCGAACAAGUGGCAGAGAUAAGACCCAAAGCUCGGCUCCUACCAGGAAAGGCAUACCUAACCCGUUUCCUACUGCUGCCCUAUAAGCUUUCUAGGAAACAGGAGGGUAAUUAACAGCUACAUCAAGGCUUGUACCCAGUGUCUUCAUGGAAGGAAAGGUGUCAACCCGGGGCGUGGUUGUACACCGAGACUUCUGUUCACUUUCCUUACUGCUGAAUUAGAGAAAUAAUUUAAUGCAGUCCUUA